This is a regulatory RNA element of Bacillus sp. FJAT-18017, 145 nucleotides long. It matches the Rfam family "PyrR binding site". From Rfam's summary of the family: This family represents the PyrR binding site and terminator structure. This RNA structure is found upstream of a variety of genes involved in pyrimidine biosynthesis and transport. NCBI's taxonomy places the organism in Bacteria, Bacillati, Bacillota, Bacilli, Caryophanales, Bacillaceae. The record is from Rfam.
AUCCCUUUUAAUUGCAGUCCAGAGAGUCUGCCAAGGGGGAAAUGCAGGAUAGCAGGGCUGAUUAUGCCCUGUCCGAUACAGGAUACUUCGGUGUUCUGCUGCAUUCAACCUCCUUGCACAUUCUGCUGCAGGGAGGUUUUUUUGU